UACGUAGGGCGCAAGCGUUGUCCGGAUUCAUUGGGCGUAAAGGGCGCGUAGGCGGCGCAACAAGUCACUUGUGAAAUCUCCGGGCUUAACCCGGAGCGGCCAAGUGAUACUGUCGUGCUAGAGUGCGGAAGGGGCUACUGGAAUUCUCGGUGUAGCGGUGAAAUGCGUAGAUAUCGAGAGGAACACCUGCGGCGAAGGCGGGUAGCUGGGCCGACACUGACGCUGAGGCGCGAAAGCCAGGGGAGCGAACGGG
Molecule: ribosomal RNA, 253 nt
Filed under: uncultured bacterium
Lineage: Bacteria
Description: partial 16S ribosomal RNA
Rfam family: Bacterial small subunit ribosomal RNA
Source: RNAcentral